GUUACAAGUUUAUUAUGAAACACAUCAAAUUCAACACUUCAGAUUUAAAUUGCCCCUUAACAAAACAAGCUAAACAAGCUAAACCAUAAAACAGAAAGAAAGAAAACUAAAUUCUUCAGUAAAAUCUUAAAAGGUAGGCCAUUAAACACAGAAAUACACAGUUCUUCAUAGCAUAACCUGAACACAACAAAGGUCAACCUGUAUCAAUAACUUAAAACAAAUAAGAAAAUAAACCUUUUUUUUUAAGUGAGCAAACUAGGAAAUAUUCUCUGGUGUGUAACUUGCCUUAAUGCCAGCAUUAAGUGAAGGGUGAAGCUCAGACAGGGCUACAGCUAACUGGGACUCAGGGGAGUAGGCCUACACAUGAAGGGAAAGAUGAAUUAUAUUGGGAAUCAAGGCUGGGAUUUGUCAUAACUGCAGUGUUUCUUUGGACAUUCCUGACCUCAUGCAAACAUAUUGUACUAUCUAACCAACAUUUCAAUCAAAUAAAGGUUCACAAAAUCGAGAAGUAAUAAAUACCCAAUAUUUCUAUUUGUUUUUGGUUGUAGCUGGAGGUAGGCCAGUUAGUUUCUGAGUGUCCAAUACAUUUUGUAAUUCUAUUCAAGAGCACUGAUACUUUAAUCGGGUACCCUAUACACUGGAGUAUAUAUCAAACAAACCAUUUGAAAUAGAGCUCUCAGAAAAUGGUGAAAUACUGUACACAUUGCAUAAACAUCACUGUGGAAGGUAGCAUAUACCUGUUCGUUCCUGCUCCCUACAUUGGUAUGCUAACUUGAGGUGUCACACCGUGCUUCUACACCUGCAUUGCUUGCUGUUUGGGGUUUUAGGCUGGGUUUCUAUACAGCACUUUGAGAUAUCAGAUGAUCUAAGAAGGGCUUUAUAAAUACAUUGGAUUUGAUUUACUAAAGCAACAGGCUAAGACCAUACACAUUGUUUUAAUGAGCUAGAAAUGCAAAAGAACUGCAUCAUUAGUGGGAUGUAAAACAUUAUGCAAGUAUGUGAUAUGAAAGUAUUUAGGAUAAAAACCUAAGAACAUAAUCCAAGGAAAUACAAUCACAUGCAGUAUGAAAUUAGAACUUGAUUCCCCAGCAAAGUGUGACAAACUCCUGCCUCUCCCACUGUCCACCUAAACCCCAUUAUUUCUGACCUGCACAUCCACAUCUUACAACUUGAUGUCUACCAUUCAUCCCUUUACAAAACAUAGGCUACUUCCUCCACCUUUCCUCUUUAUUCAAAUUAAAGCAAAUGAACUUUGAAUAAAAUACUGAGCUGAUACAUUACAAAUGACUGGUGGAAAACCACCAGUACAUUACUGCUGCUAGACUUGACCUUAACUUUUUCCUUUCAUUUCAAAUAUUGAGCCUCAGACUGUACAAUCCAUCACUGUUCAAACUGAAUAACAUACACACCUGUAUUCCUGUGAUUUAUCUUACCCUAACCCUAUCUUUAUCCUAACCCUAACCCUAGCCCUAACCUUAACUCUAACCCUUAUUUUAAAUUCUAAACCUAA
Oncorhynchus tshawytscha (Chinook salmon) is the source of this 1510-nucleotide long non-coding RNA. The record is from Ensembl. NCBI's taxonomy places the organism in Eukaryota, Metazoa, Chordata, Actinopteri, Salmoniformes, Salmonidae.